GGGUUGUGAGGUUAAGCGACUAAGCGUACACGGUGGAUGCCCUGGCAGUCAGAGGCGAUGAAGGGCGUGCUAAUCUGCGAUAAGCGCCGGUAAGGUGAUAUGAACCGUUAUAACCGGCGAUACCCGAAUGGGGAAACCCAGUGUGACUCGUCACACUAUCAUUAACUGAAUCCAUAGGUUAAUGAGGCGAACCGGGGGAACUGAAACAUCUAAGUACCCCGAGGAAAAGAAAUCAACCGAGAUUCCCCCAGUAGCGGCGAGCGAACGGGGAGGAGCCCAGAGCCUGAAUCAGCAUGUGUGUUAGUGGAAGCGUCUGGAAAGGCGCGCGAUACAGGGUGACAGCCCCGUACACAAAAGCGCAUGUGCUGUGAGCUCGAUGAGUAGGGCGGGACACGUGGUAUCCUGUCUGAAUAUGGGGGGACCAUCCUCCAAGGCUAAAUACUCCUGACUGACCGAUAGUGAACCAGUACCGUGAGGGAAAGGCGAAAAGAACCCCGGCGAGGGGAGUGAAAAAGAACCUGAAACCGUGUACGUACAAGCAGUGGGAGCACCCUUUGGGUGUGACUGCGUACCUUUUGUAUAAUGGGUCAGCGACUUAUAU
Molecule: ribosomal RNA, 601 nt
Filed under: Salmonella enterica subsp. enterica serovar Enteritidis
Lineage: Bacteria; Pseudomonadati; Pseudomonadota; Gammaproteobacteria; Enterobacterales; Enterobacteriaceae
Description: partial 23S ribosomal RNA
Rfam family: Bacterial large subunit ribosomal RNA
Source: RNAcentral